CUCAAACCCAUUGAACAUAGUGAUCGACGUCAUCUCCCAAUUUUGAAUUCCCUGUAUUCGAAGCGGACGAAGAUGAUGUUGAAGGGAUUCCUGACGAGAUUUCCGACUUCUUGAGCAAGAGAGAAGAUCACUCAGCUGCAUCUCGAGAAUCAGCAGAACAGCCAACUGGGCAUUAUCAAAAAAAAAAAAAAAAAAAAAAAAAAAAAAAAAGAAAAAAAGAAAAAAGAAAGAGGAGGGUGCAAAAUCAAAAGAAAUCAAAAGAAAGCAAAAUCAAAAGNNN
RNAcentral lists this long non-coding RNA (280 nucleotides) under Lathyrus oleraceus (garden pea). Its description in RNAcentral is "Pisum sativum (pea) long non-coding RNA (PSAT_LNC027718)". Lineage: Eukaryota; Viridiplantae; Streptophyta; Magnoliopsida; Fabales; Fabaceae. The record is from RNAcentral.